GUGCUCGCUUCAGCAGCACAUAUACUAAAAUUGGAAUGAUACAGAGAAGAUUAGCAUGGCCCCUGUGCAAGGAUGACAUGCAAAUUCAUUAAGUGUUUCAUAUUAAA
This is a small nuclear RNA of Callithrix jacchus (white-tufted-ear marmoset), 107 nucleotides long. The record is from Ensembl. Lineage: Eukaryota; Metazoa; Chordata; Mammalia; Primates; Cebidae.